Molecule: ribosomal RNA, 229 nt
Filed under: uncultured bacterium
Lineage: Bacteria
Description: partial 16S ribosomal RNA
Rfam family: Bacterial small subunit ribosomal RNA
Source: RNAcentral
UCCGUAGGCGGGUAAUUAAGUCAGAGGUGAAAUCCCACAGCUUAACUGUGGAACUGUCUUAGAUACUGGUUAUCUUGAGUUUUAGUGAAGUAGAUAGAAUGUGUAGUGUAGCGGUGAAAUGCAUAGAUAUUACACAGAAUACCGAUUGCGAAGGCAGUCUACUAACUAACAACUGACGCUAAUGGACGAAAGCGUGGGGAGCGAACAGGAUUAGAUACCCUGGUAGUCC